RNAcentral lists this long non-coding RNA (333 nucleotides) under Daucus carota (carrot). Its description in RNAcentral is "long non-coding RNA (DCAR_LNC003387)". The record is from RNAcentral. Lineage: Eukaryota; Viridiplantae; Streptophyta; Magnoliopsida; Apiales; Apiaceae.
AUAUACAGAUAAAAAUACAUAAAUAACUAAAAUCAUGAACGAAUAUACAAAUAUACCAAAUCGGGGCUAUAAUCGAAUUGUGAGAUACCUUGAUUACUAGAAAUUAGGGAUCGUGAUAUCGUGGCUUCGAGUUGAGAGAGAUUUUCAGAGCUUCGGCCUUCGAUUGCGGGUCAAACAUAGAGUGGUGGGUUGUAAAUCGUGAGUUGCGGCCUUCAAUUUAGGGAUUCGUUCACCGCCUUGAAUCAUCGCCUUAUCCUCCAUUUUCCAGAUUUUCGAAUUAAAGAUAAACAAGAAACGCGAUGUCGCGAAUAGGUUAGGUUACUCUGACUUAGG